GUAUAUAUGACGCAUGUUUUUUUUCAGUUCUUCUUCGUUACUUGGAAUUCAAUAUUACAAUUCCGAUUCAUAUUCAACAUCGACAGGUUCCAUGGCUGUAUAGAAAAGGAACUGUCGAAGAAAGGGUCACUGUGAUUGUUAAAACGUUUCUUCGGUACCAUAAGGCAAAAUCGGCGAUUUUCUCUAUCAAGAGAUUGUAUCCAAAUACAAGAAUCAUUAUUGCUGACGACACUCCCCCGACGAACUUUACAAACCUGCAAGGUAUCAACAUGGAUCACUUUAGAAUGCCAGGCUUCACUGGCUACUUUGCGGGAAGAAAUCUAGGGCUGUCUCAAGUCUGGACUGAGUAUUUUCUCUACAUGGAUGACGACCUUUACUUUACCAAUGGAACAAGGCUGGAUGUCCUUGUCUCAUUUUUGGACAAGACUAAUUUUCACUUGGUAAGCGGAGCUGCAGAAGGAAAGAAAAGACAUGUGCACACUCUACGUGUUCUUGGAAACGGUACUUACUCUUGCCACAGAAAGGAGCAACGCCAUUAUCAGGAGAUAAAAGGUUUUCCGGGUUGUUUUGUUGCUGAUCUCGUCCCGAAUUUUUUUCUUG
Long non-coding RNA from Branchiostoma belcheri (Belcher's lancelet), 600 nucleotides. RefSeq lists it as uncharacterized. The transcript has 5 exons. Lineage: Eukaryota; Metazoa; Chordata; Leptocardii; Amphioxiformes; Branchiostomatidae. The record is from RefSeq and is a predicted model, not a curated record.